Molecule: ribosomal RNA, 471 nt
Filed under: uncultured bacterium
Lineage: Bacteria
Description: bacterial SSU rRNA
Rfam family: Bacterial small subunit ribosomal RNA
Source: RNAcentral
ACUUUUACCUUCGGGUAGACAAUGGAUACAGGUGGUGCAUGGUUGUCGUCAGCUCGUGUCGUGAGAUGUUGGGUUAAGUCCCGCAACGAGCGCAACCCUUGUCGAUAGUUACCAGCAGUAAGAUGGGGACUCUAUCGAGACAGCUAAGGACAACUUAGAGGAAGGUGGGGAUGACGUCAAAUCAUCACGCCCCUUAUGUUUAGGGCUACACACGUGCUACAAUGGUCAUUACAGAGAGAAGCGAAACUGCGAAGUCAAGCAAACCUCAAAAAGAUGAUCCAAGUUCGGAUUGUAGGCUGAAACUCGCCUACAUGAAGUUGGAGUUGCCAGUAAUCGCGAAUCAGAAUGUCGCGGUGAAUGCGUUCCCGGGUCUUGUACACCCCGCCCGUCACACCAUGGGAGUUUGGGGGGCCCAAAGUCAGCGACUCAACCGCAAGGAGAGAGCUGCCCAAGCAAACCAAAUGGGGGGGU